CACACCUCUCACCCUUCCCUUCCUUCAAACAGCCUCCCUCCCUCCACACGUCCUUCGUCUUCUCCGACAAACUCAAAGAAAUCAAACCACUCCCAGUGUACAUCUGUUGACUCCCUUCAACCAUAUUCCUUCAUUCAUUCCCUUCCCAAAUAUCCUUAUCACCCUCACACUUUUGUAAUGACUGGACAUCAAUUUUGCAAUUUUUGUUUAUGUGAACUUCAUCAAACCCCUUCAAGUUGAUACACACAUCAAAUCAAAUUAAAUAUCGAAUCAAUAAAACCUAAAAGAUCGGACCCUAAACCUGCAAAUCGGAACUAACGAGUCGCAGGAAACCGAUGUCCAUCACCACCAAAUCGAGGAACUUGGUGCAACUUAAAUCUCGGGACCAUCGAUGCCUAUGGUGGUAAUCGUCCAACACCACUUCAUUUUACUCAUUCUUUGAAUCCAUUUCUAAAACUCUAAGAUUGGUUCCUCUCUAAUCGGAUAUAAGAUUUUUGAGGCAAGAUCUUCGAUUUUUGAUGGGUUUCAUGAUUGUCGCUAAAGGAUGAUGACGUUGGGGAGAUGAUGGUCGCCAGAGGUAAAAGAUCAUUGGAGGUGGAUGACAACAGAUGUGAGAGAUACAAAGAGAAAUAGAUCGGUGGUUGGCUCUUUUGGUUUAAAAGUGAACUAAGUGGGCGUGGUAAUGAGGUGAUGCUCGUCGGAUGAAGACGACCGGAGGUAGAGGUCACCGGUGAGUUUUAGAGUAAAGAAAAGAGUUGGGUCUCAUUUUUCUCUCUCAUCGAGUGUGUGUAGGUAUGUGUUUCAAUCAGUAAAAUGGUGGAGGGUGGUGAAAGUGAAGGAGGAGGGUUGGUUAGUGGGCCCUUUUAAAAAAAAUGAAAAUAGUAAUAAAAAUAUCAAAUUGAUUGGAAAAUAGAAAGACAAGGGUAUUAUGGUCAUUUUAGUUUGGGCACGGAUUAAAUUAGCAACAAACACGUCUUUCAGGGACGUAACAUGAAACUUUAAAUGAUAUGAGGGACGGUCCGAGUUAAUUUUUGAAAAUAGGGACUAAACGUGCGUUUCGACAUAUACACGAAGGUGUAAUUUAUCCAUAAGUUAAUAUUUGAAUAAAAAUAGUUUAUUCUAGUUGAAAACAACUAAUAAAUCAGUUUUUCAUAAAUUACUAGCUUAUAAACUACUAAUAAACAAUAAGUUUUUAUUUUAUUUUAUUUAUUUAUUUUUUUUUUUGUGAAAGACGUUAACUCAAAACAUGACCCACUAAACUUGAAUUUUUUGAACACUUUAAUUUCUGUCUUAUAUCAUUUUUAAUUCACUUGUUUUUUUAACAUUUUAAAUGUUUAUUUACUCAAUUUUAAAAUUAACCAUUUUAUAAAACAAAUCAAUUCAAAUGUAACCUCAUUUUCACAUCUUUUCCUCCCUUAAUUUGUUUUUAAGAGAAUAGUCUUUUCUUUUCUUCCUUUCUAUCAAGUCAAUAACUGUAGAACGGUGUUCGUUGCCCGAGAAUACACGAACCUUGUGCGUUGAGAGCCGGAAGUGUGAAGAACAAUUGGCGGGGUUUCUCUUCUGUUGGUUGUUUAGCUGCACUAAGCUGACAACAAUGGCGGAGUUAAUAGUUAUACGUAACCAGCUUUUCGCCAAACCCUUAUCUUUUUCACCAUCAUGUAAACUAAUGCCUAUGAUACUUAAUCGCCAACCCUUCAAAUUCAGUUAUAAUCCUCAAUCUCUUUCUCCAAGUUUCGGCAGAUUCAACCGCCCUCUUCUCAUUCAUCCGAUUCCUCGAUCUCGUCUGUUGUGCAAGAUGCAAGACUCCGAUAUGAUAUCGCAGCUGGAGAUUGGAAAAUAUAGCGACAAGAGGAAGCCAGAGAAGAGAGUGAAUGGGAUAUUCUGGAUUUUACUACUUAAUAUUGGAAUCUAUGUAGCAGAUCACAUAUUUCAGGUUCGUGAGAUUAAAGCUUUGUAUUUAUACCACAAUUUUCCUGUUUGGUACCAGUUUGUGACUUCAACUUUCUGUCAUGCUGAUUGGAAUCAUCUCUCUAGCAACCUUUUCUUCCUAUAUAUAUUUGGAAAGCUUGUUGAAGAAGAAGAAGGAAGUUUUGGAGUGUGGCUUUCUUAUAUCUUAACGGGUGCUGGAGCAAAUCUUGUUUCUUGGCUUAUACUUCCAAGAAAUGCGGUUUCUGUUGGUGCCUCUGGUGCAGUGUUUGGUCUUUUUGCAAUUAGUGUUCUUGUUAAGCUCUCGUUUGACUGGAGGAAGAUUCUUGAAGUACUUAUACUCGGUCAAUUUGUUAUUGAGAGGGUAUGCAUAUCUGGAUAUAGUGAUCAUAUAUGAAUGGGAAAUGUUUAAAAAAUCUUCAAGAAAGUGAAACUACUUUUUGGAAAAGCUCUACAAGCUUAUCAAUAAGCUAUUUCAAAUAGUUUUUUAAAAAGGUGAUGGAAGCAGCUCAAGCUUCAACAAGUUUUGCAAGCAGUAAUAGUGCUAUGCAGAAUGUAAAUCAUAUUGCUCAUCUUUCUGGUGCUCUUGUGGGUGCGACUUUGGUGUGGCUUCUCAGCAGAGUUCCUUCUCAAUCUGUGGACCAUGAUAAUAAAAAAUGAUGCUUUCAUAAUAUAAUUAUUAAUACCCAUUCCAUUUCAACUA
Lactuca sativa (garden lettuce) is the source of this 2629-nucleotide RNA transcript. It is a transcript of the gene named Rhomboid-related intramembrane serine protease family protein, with no coding region annotated. The record is from RefSeq and is a predicted model, not a curated record. Lineage: Eukaryota; Viridiplantae; Streptophyta; Magnoliopsida; Asterales; Asteraceae.